RNAcentral lists this ribosomal RNA (420 nucleotides) under uncultured bacterium. RNAcentral's name for it is "bacterial SSU rRNA". It matches the Rfam family "Bacterial small subunit ribosomal RNA", at positions 355 to 787 of the family's 1533-position model. The record is from RNAcentral.
UGGGGAAUAUUGCACAAUGGGGGAAACCCUGAUGCAGCGACGCCGCGUGAGCGAUGAAGUAUUUCGGUAUGUAAAAGCUCUAUCAGCAGGGAAGAAAAUGACGGUACCUGACUAAGAAGCCCCGGCUAACUACGUGCCAGCAGCCGCGGUAAUGCGUAGGGGGCAAGCGUUAUCCGGAUUUACUGGGUGUAAAGGGAGCGUAGACGGAGAGGCAAGUCUGGAAGUGAAAACCCCGGGGCUCAACCCCGGGACUGCUUUGGAAAACUGUUUUUUCUAGAGUGUCGGAGAGGUAAGUGGAAUUCCUAGUGUAGCGGUGAAAUGCGUAGAUAUUAGGAGGAACACCAGUGGCGAAGGCGGCUUACUGGACGAUGACUGACGUUGAGGCUCGAAAGCGUGGGGAGCAAACAGGAUUAGAUACCC